Molecule: ribosomal RNA, 253 nt
Filed under: uncultured bacterium
Lineage: Bacteria
Description: partial 16S ribosomal RNA
Rfam family: Bacterial small subunit ribosomal RNA
Source: RNAcentral
UACGUAGGGUGCAAGCGUUGUCCGGAAUUAUUGGGCGUAAAGAGCUCGUAGGCGGUUUGUCGCGUCUGCUGUGAAAACUCGGGGCUUAACCCCGGGCCUGCAGUGGGUACGGGCAGACUAGAGUGCGGUAGGGGAGACUGGAAUUCCUGGUGUAGCGGUGAAAUGCGCAGAUAUCAGGAGGAACACCGAUGGCGAAGGCAGCUCACUGGGACGGUACUGACGCUGAGGCGCGAAAGCGUGGGGAGCAAACAGG